Molecule: ribosomal RNA, 253 nt
Filed under: uncultured bacterium
Lineage: Bacteria
Description: partial 16S ribosomal RNA
Rfam family: Bacterial small subunit ribosomal RNA
Source: RNAcentral
UACGGAGGGUGCGAGCGUUAAUCGGAAUUACUGGGCGUAAAGUGUGCGCAGGCGGCAGAGCAAGUCGAGUGUGAAAGCCCCGGGCUUAACUUGGGAAUUGCGCUCGAAACUACUUUGCUGGAGUGUGGCAGAGGAAGGUGGAAUUCCACGUGUAGCGGUGAAAUGCGCAGAUAUCAGGAGGAACACCGGUGGCGAAGGCGGGUCUCUGGGCCGAUACUGACGCUGAGGAGCGAAAGCGUGGGGAGCGAACAGG